CAUCGCCCGUCGCUCCUACCAAUUGAAUGAUCCGGUGAAAUGUUCGGAUCGCGGCGACGUGGGCGGUUCAAUGUCCACAACUUCGCGACAAGUCCAUUGAACCUUGUCAUAUAUAGGAAUGAAAAGUCGUAACAAGGUUUUCGUAGGUGAAAUUGCGAAAG
Molecule: non-coding RNA, 161 nt
Filed under: Solanum lycopersicum (tomato)
Lineage: Eukaryota; Viridiplantae; Streptophyta; Magnoliopsida; Solanales; Solanaceae
Description: Eukaryotic small subunit ribosomal RNA
Rfam family: Eukaryotic small subunit ribosomal RNA
Source: Rfam by way of RNAcentral